This is a long non-coding RNA of Monodelphis domestica (gray short-tailed opossum), 1341 nucleotides long. RefSeq lists it as uncharacterized. Lineage: Eukaryota; Metazoa; Chordata; Mammalia; Didelphimorphia; Didelphidae. The record is from RefSeq and is a predicted model, not a curated record.
CAGUGCAUAAUAUAUCCCAGUAGUUCCUCCUUCUGAGUCCAUUAUUGGGAUUCUUUGGACUUCAGCCUCCUUCCUCUCUCCUUCUAUGUUCAUCAUUAGUGUCUACUUAUUCUUCUGCUUUUUACCUGUGGCGCCCCUCCCAUCACUCGACAUUCUCACAGAUGUUGCCAUGGAGACUCAGGAUGUAACCAUGGCAGCCAGGCAAGAUCUUUUCCCAGAGGAGUUUGCCUGUGACAUUCAACCUGGCACUGGGGGAAAAUUGCAGGACUGGUGGAGCCUAUAUGAGGGAGAAAGUGUUGUUUUUUCUCCCUUAAAGAUACAGGAGAUAUUUUCCCCUCUCAACAGAAUCUAGGGUGAAGGGGAGGCCCAGGACAGAGAAAAUAUAUGUCUAGACUACCCUAAGGAAUGCUAACAUUUUCAGACCCUCUUGGGCAGUCUGGGAAAGCCUGUGAAUCCUUUCUCAGAAUAAUACUUUUAAAUUUAUAAGAUAAAACACAUAGGUAAAAUACAAAGGUAGAAGCAGAGCUGGAAAGAGAGGGAAGGGUGUCUUGCUUGGGCCCUUCUCCAAAAUGGAGGUCCCAGGAGGGACUUGCCUAUUAGAGAAGGGGGCCAGCAACAAUAGAUGGCUGUUCAAGGAUAAGAAGGCUUCAUGGGUGGGUGGAUGGAUGGUCAAGCGUGACAAAGUCGAUGAGGUGUAUUGUUGAAGUCUGGGCAGUCAGAAGCCUCUAGGAGGGGAAAGGCCUCACCAGAAAGUGGAAUUUGAAUUUAAGGGUUUUUUUUUUAAAACCUUAUCUUCUGUCUUAGAACUGAUACCAAAAUGGGAAGGGCUAGACAAUUGGUGGUCACAUAGCUUUUAACCCAGGUCCUUUUGUCUCUAGGCUUGAUUCUCUAUCCACUGAGUUGUCCCUUGAGUUUAAGUUCUGAAGAAGACUGGGGAAGCCAGGAGGAGAUAUCGUGAUUGCAACUCCUGCCUUCUUUCUAUCAGUUGAGGCCCAAAAGGUCUUGUUCCAACCUUUGAUGUUAACCUUGUGAGUAUCUACCCACCUCAUGUGUGUUUCCUGAAGACAACAUAUAGUAGGGUUUUGGCUUCUAGUCCACUCUGCUAUUUGUCUACGUUUUAUGGGGCUGUUAUGGGCUUCUCAUCCCAGUUGGGGGAUAUUGGAUGCCCUGGCUAAUGAGGCAGCAUCAUGGAAGCGCCUGGACUGAUGUAUAGCAAGAGUGGAGAGUUGGUGGCUCAAGAGUUCUACUAGCUGAAGAUCGGAGCUGGGGAGGUCCUCAGAGAUGAUCUACUUGAAUAACAACAAAACUACCAUCAUGAGAAAAUAAUAAUAAACAUUUCUA